Gallus gallus (chicken) is the source of this 3090-nucleotide long non-coding RNA. Lineage: Eukaryota; Metazoa; Chordata; Aves; Galliformes; Phasianidae. The record is from Ensembl.
GCUGUAUUUCUUUUGGCAGCAAUGCUGGUUUGUGUCAGCUUAAGGUCCUUGUAAAACUACUGCUCCAGACUAAAGAGCCAAAUCUGCCCCAGAAGGAAAUAUGCUGAAGUGAACAUCUCCACCUCUGUGAUGAAUUUAAAAACCGGUGCUCACCUGCUAAUAGCUACUUUGGAGUCCCAGAGACAUAAACACAGUGGCUAAUCUUAUCAAGCUGUGGCAUUUAUGGGAGAAACUGAACAUUUGUAUUUGCAUUGCUGACUCUACAGUUAUAAGAUUCCCCAGGAGAAAGUGAAGAGCAGUGAUCUGGUCUAUGUAAGCCUCAGGCACAACGCGUAAUGCCUGAUUGUUCGGUGCAUCUUUGGGAACACAAAGGAUGUGUGACUUUGGAGACAGAUCCAAACAAAAUGCCUGCCAAGGAGGUAAGGAUGCUUGACUAAAUAGCGGGAGUCAAACACAUCGGCCUGUUGAUAGCACUUGGCUGGGAAUACAACCACUUCACGUAAACAAAAGCAUCAGUGUAAAUGGUCCAAUUUUUGGCUGUGUCGACAAAGAAGAGAAGAUAGGAAGGCAGCCAUUCAGGGCUGAGCAGAAGCCAAAUGCUAGGAUAUCGUAUUUCACCUCCAAGUAAGCAUUUGUGAAAGAAACUUUAGUCACCAAUGCCAAUAGCGGUUUAAAACUUAAAAAUAAAUAAAUUAUGGCAGUGUUUCCAUGCACUAGAAUAUAUGCUGCAAAAAUAUUUAGAUGCUUGUGUUUUCAGUUAAAUCCACACAUUUGCACGUGUGAUUGGAUGAUUCCCUGGUGGUGGAUCGGUUGUUCUGCAGACGUUACUAUCCAAAUUGAGACUAUCAGAAAAAAUAACGAUUCACAUAUUUCUCUUUGAAGAACAAAGGGUUGUUGUUGUUUUUUUUUUUGUCUUUUGUCUGCUUCUUAGUAGGUCAUCUUCGUAUCACUUUUAAACUUUGACAAUGCGCUCUUGUUUUUCAAAACCAAUUGUCAACAAAUUGCCAUCAAAAUAAAUGACAACAGGUCCCAGUAGGAAAGAGCCCAUUGAAGACAUUCUCCGUGUAAAUUCAUUGUCCCCAUGGAUGUCUGUAAAAAUACUGCAUGUGGUACAGUCCAAUGUUUUGAUGACCAGGAUCUGAAUAAUUACAGCAUAUUUCACCAUGAUUCUAAUACAGGUGCUAAAAACGGUUUCUUUGGCUGCAUCAGAACUAAAAGGUUAAAUAAUGUCAUUGGUAAUUUAAAAAAAAAACUUUCACUAGCUUGAGAGGAAAAGCUUUGAAAGCAUUUAUAAGGAAAUCUCAUGGGAUAAAUUACCAAGAAGUAUUCCUAAGUCCUAUCCUAUUCAUUUCAAUGGGACAGAUAUAUCAUCUCAGUAAGAGUUAAUGGAAUCAUUGUGGGUGCCUCUCAUGUGAAUGUACCACAGUGUAAUUCCUCUGAUUUUUUUUAUUUUUUGCACAGAUGCUCUAAAUUUUCCAUCAGAAACUCUGAGGUAAUACAUCUCACUGCCUCUGUCAUUCUUCUAUACCUUUCAGUUAUUCCUUGUCUAAGGAAAAAAUUAAAAAAGCUCAUUGUUGGACAAGGAUAAGAGGUAGAGCGGCAAUAUUGAUGUAGCCACAUCAUUCUCUAUGGAAGUGGUGCCCAUGUAUACGGAUUCCCUCCCUUCAUUGUUCUGGGAGGAUGCUCGGGCUCGCUUUAAAUCAAUAGAGAAGGUAAGCUGAGCAAAGUGCAGGUCUGAAAACAAAUAAAACCUAAUACCUCUAGUCAGCUGAAGGCAUUUGUACAAGCCUGCAAGUGAGGAACUAAGCUGAAGAAAUGACAUCUAGGUGGUCAUAUCAUACUUAAAUUAAUUUUGUCUUCAGGUUCAGUAUGUAGGCUAUUUUUCCUAUUACAUCUCAGAAGAAAAGCUCCAGUCUGAUUUAUUUUUAGAAGACUGGUCCACAUAAGGAAGCCCAGCUGUUAUGCUGUGAACCUUCAUAGCUCUAAGGUGUUUAAGACCUGAUAUUUUGUUAUCUAUUUUUUUCUUUAUACUUUUCUCUCUUCUGAAAGACAGACUGAAUUUUCUCUCAGGUAGCUGAUAGUAAAACUUUGUCUCCAGACAAUUAAGUGCCCACUUGACAGAGAUUUGUUUGCAUUUAUCUAUUGCCGGAGGUUUCUUUAUCAAUAUGUAGUCAAUUUAAGAACUAAAAUUUGGUUCAUGGUUUGUUUUAAAAACAAGAUGAAGAAUCUUAAUCUCUUUUAAACAUCCGUAGUCACUUCAACUAUUUCUAGUUUUCAAGUGAGCUCAUAAAACUUAUUUCCUUUUUCACCAUUUGUGAAGAGCUCUGUCUAUUCCUUCUAGAAAAGCUGUGUGGAUAUUCUUCCUUAACAUUAAUCCAGGAGCUCUCACUUUAAGUUUUCAUGUGACUAUUUCAGCUUUGAUCUGUUCCUGUUUGUUCAGGAUCUUGCACACUUGUGUAAGAAUCCUCUGUUAAUCUCUCUUUUCUUAGAUACGGAAGACAAAUAUGUCCAGCAAUUCUUCAUGAAUCUUGGUUACUAACACACCUUGGGCAGCCCCCUGCUGUACAUUUCGAGUGUCUUCCCAUAAUGAAGUGGCUGAAAUGGAGCACUGUUUUCUAAUGAGACUGGUAGCAUGCCAGAAUAAUUUCUGUAGCUUUUCCCCGCUGCCAGAGCUAUAUUUCAGAAACUUGUUUGCUCUAUUUCAUCUUUGUUAUUGUUAGCAGGAAAGAGUGAUAAUGGUUUACUCCACUAUCCACAGUCCCUUCUAGGUACUCUUAGUAUGAAUUCUAUGUUGUGUUCCUAUUUAGACUGCAAGCCUUAUGCUUAUUCUUCUAGUAAUUGGCUACAUUACUCCACAUUAUGCUGCACUGAAUUUUAUGAACCACUUAUCCACCCAAAGGCCAAUAUGCUUGUGUUAUAAAUAUUCCAUUUCUGCUUAUUCCAAGCAAUGCUGCUAUCACCUGUGUUUAAAUCCUUAAUCUAUUCCAUUCCCAAAACACCUCUGAGAAGGGUGAGCAGCUGCAGUUAAAGCUGAUAUGUAGUCUCAUUGAAGGAGAAAAAAAAAAAAAAAAGUGAUGGAGAAUAAAGAUG